GGACAUCUGGAGUGAUGGCGUUUGUCUUCCCAAGUAACCGUUACGCGUGAUGGAGCCCUGCUUUCCUGGAGACGGCUGAACACCUGCCUGCCCAUGGGAAGGAGUGACUGAAUUCCUUGUUUUGCUUUGCUUCUGUGUGCAGCUUUUGCUUUACCUAUUAAACUGUCUUUAUCUCAACCCAUGAGUUGCCUCACUUUUACUCUCCCAAUUCUUUCCCCCGUCCCACCAGGGGGGAGUGAGCGAGCGGCUGCGUGGUGCUUGGUUGCUGACUGGGGCUAAACCACGACAGUCCAUUUUGGCGCCCAACGUGGGGCACGAAAGGUUUGAGAUAAUGACAGAUUUGAUUGGAAUGUGCUAGGUGGAAUUUAUAGUGGUUAUUGCUGUUUAGCUAUUAACUGGCAGGCUUCUGUGCUUGCUAUGGGGCUUGCCUGACUUACUGUAUAUACAUACACUGUAUGCCUUAAAGUCUAGAGCUCAUUAGUGGCUGCUUUUUGCUUUUGCUGCUUGCUGUACUGCUUAUCACCUUACCCUGCCGGGCCUGGGAACAUUCUGAUAACAGCCAUGGCGAUGCGCCUGGGCUGGCAGAUGGCCAGGGCCCAGCUGCUGUUUCUGUGCUGCUGCACUGGACAGGCUGGAACUCCAGUGUGAACUCGAGUCAAAGCGACUAUGACCUGUGGAUGAGUCCAUGUGGGAGCAGGACACCCCAAAGCAUCUGUGGCUGUGUAUAAGCCCAUGCCAGAGCAGGUAUAUCUCGAAGCAUCUGUGCCCUUGGUUAUGUCUGUGCCACAGCAGGUAUACCUCUGAGGCAAUUGUGGCCCAAGGAUAUAUCCAGCUUGGAGAAGGUACACCUCGAAGUGUCUGUGGCUGUGCAUGAGGUCAUGCCAGAGCACCUCAAAGUGUGUGGCCAUGGAUAAGCCCACAACGGAGCAGGCUUACCUCUGGGGGGACUGAAGUCAUGGGGCAAAGCCAUGUUGGAGCAGGCUUUGGAGGGACUACAGCCAUGGGCAAGGCUGUGUUGGAGCAGGUUUGCUUCUGGAGGGACUGCAGCCAUGGGCAAGGCCAUGCUGGAGCAGGUAUAGCUCUGAAAGCAUUGAGGCCCAUGCAGAAAGCCACCCUGGAACAGGCACAUGUCAAAGCAACUGUGGCUCUGGGUAAGUCUAUGCUGCAGCAGGUGUGCCCCUGGAGAGACUGUGGCUCCUGGGUAAGGCUCCACUUGGAGCAGGUACAACCCUAAAGGGCUACAGUCUGUGGCUAAGUCCAAACCAGAGCAGGGGCGAGGGGAGGAGUUCAUUACAAUGUUAAACCUGAUAGUCUGAUCCAAAUGGACCAGGGGUGGAGAUUGUAAUGGAAAUACCUUUAAAUUGUUCUAACCCGAGAUUUGAGUUACAUAUUAUGGAAAUUACUAUAGCAGAAACCCCUUGUUGCUAGCCAGGCUGGGAGCAAGGGGAGGAGUUAAUUGCAACGUUAAAACCUAUAACCUGGCCCAAAGGGGCCAGGGGUGGAGAUUGUAAUGGACAUACCUUUAAAUUGUUGUAACCCGUGAUUUGAGUCACACAUUACAGGAAUUACUACAGCAGGAACCACCCAAACCAAUGGAGGACAAGCAUUUCAAGAAGCAGUGCAAGUGUAGCAGUGAUCUGACCUGAGCUGGUAAAGCAGCUUUUGCUUUACCUAUCAAGCUGUCUUUAUCUCAACCCAUGAGUUGCCUCACUUUUACUCUCCCGAUUCUCUCCCCCGUCCCACCAGGGGGGAGUGAGCGAGCGGCUGCGUGGGGCCUGGUUGCUGACCGGGGCUAAACCACGACACAGGGUAGUGUUUCUCAGCUGUCAGUCCAGCCCCUACUGAAGUUGCAUAACUGGAACCGAAGGCAGAAUCCAGCUCCCAGGUCUGAAUGCAGCAGAGCAUUUAUAUUCCUGUUUCUCUCCAAGACAGUGUGUGGCCCUGUUGGCUUUCUGGGCUGCCCAUAAGCUUGAAAGGGAUUGGAAAAACUCUGGAAGACACAGGCAGAUCUAACAAGAUGGUCUUACGAUCUUAUGUGCUCCAUCACAGCAGAUGUGGCCACGCUGGUGGUGAAGGGGAUUUGGGAUCAGGUGACUUCAGCUGGCCCAUCUCCACCUUUUUGUGAGAUGAAUGGUGUGCUUGGAUCUCAUCUCUUUGUAUUUACAGAGUAUCACAGGUAAUGACUUCAUCUUCCCUGGAAGAAGCCAACAAGCCUCUAGCAACCCAUGAUCUACACAAAAAGAACCUUACUCUCACUCUAUGUGAAAGUAAAUCAGGAGUUUCAUAACUGCAGGACCCCGGACAAGAAAAAUAGGAAACAGUGUUGAACGCGCCAAGAUAUAAGACACAAAAAAAAUAUCUUCUUCUGCUUAUAGCCACAAGAGAAAUGAUCAAAUUAGUAUCAGGAAAGCUUCCUGACUUGUCAUAUGUAUUAAGAUGUUACUUAUGCAUCUGCACUUUUCUGCAGGUAUCUCUUAUCUUUUUAGAAAAAAGAUCAAUUUCCUGUGUUUAACAGUCUUUGGUUCAGAGCUUCCAUUUAUGAAAGACACUUGUACAAUGCAUCAUGCACUGUAGACAAUUGAAUAGAGGUUGGACACCCUUAUACAGCUGAACCUGACAUGUAUCUGAAUCACCACAAACAGUGGGGAAAGGUAAAGCGUGUCAUUUUGCAUAUGACUCCAUCUUCUAUAUAUUUAACAAAAUGAGUUGAAAUUGUUCCACAGUUCCCAGAAUGUACUUGACCAUGGAGGGAGCCCACACUGUAAAGCCAACAUAAUUUUAGUGAGGAAAGGUUUGACUGGUCCUUAAGACUCAGCCUGUUUUUAGCAGUGGUUCUUCUAAUUCAGAAGAAUACGUCAGUGGUUUCACAGAGGUAGUAUGGUGAGCAUUAGUGACACAUGAGCCAUUUGGAAAUAUAUAGCCCUUUUGAGACCUUCUGCUGCUUCCUGUGAUGUUGCUUCCUACUCCAGUGACACUGAUGGUUGUUCCUGGAUAGAAAAAUAUUUGUCAAGUUGUGGAAUGAGUCAGGCCAGCUGAAAGUUUCCCGCUCUUUGUGAACUUCUGUAUUCAUUGCUGGUCAGGAUGUCUACUUCAUGGAGACCUGGGGAGGAGUGAGGCAGACUGGCUGGUACAGACUCUGCAGUCAAGGACCCUUACUAGACCCAACCAUCAUAAUCCUCUGUGAUGCCCACCAAGAGCAUUCAAAAGUGAAAAUUACUGUUGUGUUCCUUCUUUCUCUCCCCCCGGGGUUUGUGAGCCUGUGGGUCUUUUCUGUGAGAUGCGAAACACUGAACUCCUUGGGUCUGUGUUCCCCUGCCCAAACAUGGAGGAACCCAGUAUCCAAGCAGGAUCCAUCCCCGCAGAGCUGUUUGCAGAGUUGCAGAGUAAGGUGUCAGCCUGCCACAGCGUGCUUUCCCCCAUAGCUUGAAAUAUUGUCAGAGGAAGAAUCUGCAGAGGAUUGCUUGUCAUCUGAUUGCGUUAUUUUUCAACCACACAAGCAAUAAAUAUUUAAAGUCUGGUUAUAGGCAAUGUAACAACUCAGUAAAUAUGUGGUUCUGAAUACAGAAGUGAGAGGCUGAUCUUUUCUUUUAAGAGGAAACAAAUACAUCUCUGUUUGGCAUGAAGUGUCCUACUCCCCAUUCUGUAAGCAGGAAUAUGUUGAGGCAAUUUUGCUGUUAUGAAUGAAGGUGGAACUAAAGGCGGAAAAGUACUGCUGCAUAUUUAUUGCUACCUCCUGGCUAUCCUCUGUUCUCCUCCAUUUGUCAGAUGGAAGUAUUAGAUCAAUGCCCGGUAAGGAAAGGCAGGGACUGAGAGAGGGAAAAGAGAAACUGAAUAGCUUCAGUCUCGCUGCUGCUUCUUUUUCUCUCCUUGCCAUCCCCACCAUGUUCUUUCCCAUGACAGAGAAGCCGUGAUCAGUAAUGGAGAGAGAAAGCAGUAUGGGAGUUCCUGUGAGUUUUUUUGCCUUCUCUACAGCAUCAUGUGAACUUCAGCUAUUUUAAGUAAUUUGGUUUUACAGGAAUACUUGCAGCUGGUUUAUGGAAACUGAAAUUGACAAUUGACAUGAGCCUGAAGACCCAUAUCAGCAGUAGUGGAAGAGGGCAGCAGUAGGAGAAGAGGUGAGAACAACCUGUGGAAAUGAUUGAAAGAUCAGUGCACUUUAGGUGUCAUUGAACAUUGACUACAGACAUUCAAGUGUGGAAAUAAAUCCAGGCCUGUUUUGAUGUCCAUUGUUAUGAUUAGAUUAGAUUUUGUGCCUUUGAAAGAGCUUUGAGAAGAAAAAAAAUGUACUCUGACAUUGACUGAAUGAAGAUCUAGGCUCUCAGUUGAGUUAAGUCGAGCAGCAGAUCUAUGGCAGUGUGGGGAGGAUCUAGUUCUGCACAGUGCCAUCUCUAUCUUUCCUGUUUUUUUCAAGACAGUUUCUUGUAUGGGUUUUUUUUGAAGUGGUUUUACGAAGUGCUUUUGCAGUUGAGAAGUAACUCGGUGAUUUGACUCAUGUGGCUUGUUUCUCCUCUGUGAGGCAUAGUUAGUAAAGUUUUUUGAAUGUAUAAAUGACUAGCAGAAUGCGAUGAUGUGUGCUGUAUCUUACACCCCUGCUGUUUCUAAAAUCCAUUUUAGAAUCCAUUUAGUGGGAAAAACUCUAGUGGUCAUCUCAGAACAGGCCUUAUCAAACUGUUACAUAUGAAGAGAAGUUUCCUCUUUACAAAGCCCAUCUGAGGCAUAGUAGAAUAUUUAUUACAUGGCUGGCAGUAUCCUUCUGCCUGAGGGAUGGACUGCAAUUACAGCAUGGUAAAUAUUUCAUUAGAACAAAGCAAAACUGCAUGAGAAGUAACCUUCCCUUUAUUUAAAACAUUUAUUAAAAUACAAAGUAAGAAUCUACAUGGGAAUAAUUCUUUCUACCCAAUCAACCAACUACGCUGCAAUUUUAGGUGAGAUAUUUUGUUAUUACAAAACCUUGCAUAUUAGAGUAAUUUAUCUUUCCCUCUGAGAAAGAUGGGCAUCUUAACCCAGAUUAAAUUUAAUGUACACUGGUGUUCCUUAUACCAUUCUGGCUCUGUUAAGGAAGUAAGAGCAGGUACAAGCAGAGUCUAGUCCCCUUAUAAAAUCCCUUCCUUUCACAAGAAUGGUGUAAAUGUAAUUUAAGUGCAAGACCUAAACACAAAUGAAUGUUGAAGUCUGCUCACAUGAGUGGGAAGUAGUCACUUCAAUACUGCAUAAUGGUGCAUGGCAGUAUUGGGGACCAAUGGUCCACAUUAAAUACCUUCUGACUUCUAUUUGUUUUAAAAAUGUUAAUUUCUCUGGAAACUGAAGAGAUACAAAACCACUUUUUUUGAGUGCUCACCUUUUGCAGCAAUUUACUUAGUGAAUAGAGAAGACAUCUAAGAGUGCGUUGAAGAAUGAGGUGUUAUUGAACAGUAAUUUGGCAAUAACUCCUUUUCACUGGAAGUCAUCUUUCUACUAGAGGACCAGAUUAUACAAUGUUGAGCCUAUAAUACUCCACUUUAUCUGCUAGAGGGUUAAGGUGAGGCCCCAAGUCUGUAGCCUGGUCCUACAGUGGUAAUGGCCUUAUUGCUUCUUCAAAGGCUAAGGGACUAAAGGAAAACGAUCAUCCUCUCACUGUGCCAGUCACAGGGAGCCUCAGACCCCUUUUUGCGCCUGCUUUCUGUGCUUAUUGGAGAGAUGCUGCUUCCACUUCAGGUCUUCAGGCAAUUGAACUCCUUUCCCAUGGUAUUUAUUCUUUGAGUAGUAAGACUUUGUUCAGUGUCUUUCUCUCUCUAGGCUCCUGGUCAGUCCUUCCCUGCCAGCGAGGAGAGUGCUACCUACUUCACUUUGAAUAAUCUGUAGGCUAGAUGUGCAGUUUCAGUGUGGAGAAUCACUGUUCCUGAUCACUGAUCACCUGGGACCAUGAAGCAAAUCUCUUUGUUGAGCAUCCUAAGCCAGCAAAACUCGAUUAUGCUGCAGUAUAUACAAAACCAUUCCUCAAAACCAUUCCUCACAGAUCAGCACUAACCUCAUAGCAUGCCUUCCCAUCUGUACCAGCUGCUGCCUCUGCUGCUGCCCAGCAGUGAACUUCUACAGGGAGCUGCCAACUUGUCUCUGGGCCAAAUGUACCUUUUCAGGCCAGUGUGAGUAGUCACCAACCCUCUUUAAGUCGUUGUGACCUGUAAAGAAGCAAGUUGACUUUAGCAGAGAAGAGUCAACCAGAAAAAUUUCUGGAUCACAUUAGUUAGUCCAGAUAAUUUUAUUGUUUUAUUGGUGUGCUUUGUCAUAAUGCCCUGAGCUUCAAUAGGGACUUCUUCAACUACACUGGAAAGCUGACACAAUGCAAAAGUUAAUGUACAGAGAAACCUUUCUCUAGAGAGCCCUUACCAUUCUUGAUGUUACAAGAAUACAGAUGCUGAAAACCUGUGUCCCCUGUUUAAAACCGUGGCUGGCUUUCACCCUGAGAAAGGGAUCCUGCAGUAAAUCUGCUCUAGGGCAUAAAGUAGCCAUUCAUUGCAUAUAGCAUGAGCUAGCUCCUGAAAUGCAGCAUCAGCUCCAGAGUCCAAAAUGCAUUUAGGUUAAAUGCUGGCUUCCUUUGGGUGGCCUCCAGACUCUGAGGAUGCAACUGCAAAGCAUUCUAGUGAGACUCACAAAAAUAUGCAAGAACGUGACAAGGAAGUCUCCAAAGUGCACUCCCAGGGCUGGGCUUAUGUGCAGUGCAGUGCAGAGGCCCCGAGGAAACAGAGACUUAAGCCAAUGCAUUGCCAGAGGACUGUGCAACUGAGCCUGAGCCAUGGGAGCCCACAGACAUGCUCCUGGCUUUCCCCCAGCCUUAUGGGCAGGCGGCAAAGGGAGGCCAUGCUGCGCUUCCCAGUGCCUCCUCCUCCAGGGUUAGUAGAGCCCUGUGAAGCAGCUCUGAGCUACUUAAGCUUAGAUGAUUUAAGCUUUUACUUUCUGUAUUUUUUUUUUUAAUUCCUCUGUCACAGGUAGUAAUGAGUAUCUCAAAGACACAGAGUCUGAAUAUGUACAGUUGGCCAUUGGGAUACUAGGUAGUGCCUGAGCAGUGGAAGUUGAGGAUUUCACGUGUUAACACUAAAACAGCAUUUGGGUGCCUAAUUCCUUUGGAAACCUAAGCCUUGCACUCAUCUUUUGUGGGUUACAGGAGUAAGGCAGCAGCCACACAGACAUGUUCUCCUCUAGGGAGGUAGUCAGGCUUUCUGUGCCUGUCCUUUUUCUUAGCACUAAUAUAAGCAGUGCUCCACAUGCAAAUAACUAUGCCAGGAUUUGUGUACAGUCCUGUGCCAGAAGACAAACCGUACAGCUCUACGUUUGUAAUCCUGCUUUCCUUCACUAAGAAGUCAGGGCAAUGAAAUCUCACAAAAAUGCAUGAAAACACAAUUAUAUUUUAUUUAAAAGCAACAAUGAAUAACUACAAAUAUAUAACACUCAACAGCAAAAGAACGAAAGCGGGGUUUUAUAGCUUUAAGUUAGCAAGGCAGAUAGUAAAUGGACAAAAAAGUUUAGGUACUUGCUGCCUCCUGGGAGGUUUAUGUGGAUGUACCAAAAUGAAGAUGGGUCUUUGGAGUUGCAUUCCUCCCAGAGAGUGCUCUCUUGGUGGGAGUGUUGGUGUACCUCCAGCAAUAUCCAUUAUGGUUGUCUCUCAUAUAUAUAUAUGGAUGUUAGGAAUCCCAAAGAACCCUAACACUAGCAAUUUGCAGUUAUGUUUAAUACUUUAAGUAGUUAUUGAAGGCAUGAAUAUGUUGUCAUCAUGAGAUGAGAUACUCUUAAAUUCUGUAAGUUAAAAUCUUUUCUGCAAAACAAAGAAUGUGAACAGCUGGCUCCUGGAACAGUGCCUUGGUUUGCCUUUUUGAUCAUGAAUUUCUACAUCUCUGCGCUUGUCAGGGUUUUGUUAGAACAAUUUUUACAUCCAAACUCACAUGUACGUCAUCUGUCAACCAAUUACUGGAGGUUAUUCAAAGGUUAUAUUUGAAGUAUUCAUUUGAGAUAUAAAGCGAGCAUUUCAUUCAUUGAUAAUGGUUGCUGAACAAAGGCUUGAAAAUCCUAAAGGAACCAUCAGAAUAGAUUUCAACUUCUACAUUGUGGGAAGAGCAUUGCAAAUUCAAAGUGUGACCUUGACAGAAGCAGCAGGUAGCUGUGCUCACACCUUCUAAAGUAUGAGGGACACGUUUGCAUAAUUGACUGGAAAUGCUUUUCAUGUGACUGACAUGUUUAAUAUUUGCUUGGGGUUCUGAGCCUGCACCA
Molecule: non-coding RNA, 8241 nt
Organism: Phalacrocorax carbo (great cormorant)
Lineage: Eukaryota; Metazoa; Chordata; Aves; Suliformes; Phalacrocoracidae
Source: RefSeq, a predicted model, not a curated record